GCUGGUGCACCGAACUGCUUCCCUCACUUUCGAUCAAUCGUUGCUCCUCGUGCUAACGUUGGAUGCAAAAAAAAUUGGGUUCCUGUGCUGUGUACCUAUCGUGAUGGAAAAUCGAUUCCUCUCGUUGUCCCUUUCCAUCCGUGCAUCCUCUUAGAUGCUCGGUUGGACUAGAUAGAAGGGCUCGUGCUCCAUGGACAUCCAACGUGAUCGUUCGGAUGGUGCUCGAGUGACUUCUUGUCCUUUCGGAUGCGGAACUUGCCUCAUGGGCAUGGGGUCAUCGGCCCUUGUUCCCAAUUAUGUAUUGAAGCGUUGUAUCGCUUCACACACCGGAAUGACGCUCCUGCCUUGUCCUUGAUCACGUGGAGCUCUUUGGGCUACCACACAGGAUCAUGCUCGGCGGACGUCGUGAAGGAAUGC
RNAcentral lists this unclassified non-coding RNA (417 nucleotides) under Hypocalymma minus. RNAcentral describes it as "partial external transcribed spacer". Lineage: Eukaryota; Viridiplantae; Streptophyta; Magnoliopsida; Myrtales; Myrtaceae. The record is from RNAcentral.